UCUCAUAAACACCUUGCCCCACCAGGACUAAUGGGCAAGUAAAAUCCGUCCUUCAUAUCUGCGAUGGAGGGUGUCGCAGAACAUAACUGUAACU
Molecule: non-coding RNA, 94 nt
Submitted as: unclassified sequences
Source: Rfam